CGCGAAUUCGCCCUUCGGGGUGCAGCAGGCGCGAAAACUUUACAAUGCGGGAAACCGUGAUAAGGGGACACCGAGUGCCAGCAUCAUAUGCUGGCUGUCCGGGUGUGUAAAAUACACCCGUUAGCAAGGGCCGGGCAAGACCGGUGCCAGCCGCCGCGGUAACACCGGCGGCCCGAGCGGUGAUCGUGAUUAUUGGGUCUAAAGGGUCCGUAGCCGGUUUGGUCAGUCCUCCGGGAAAUCUGAUAGCUCAACUAUUAGGCUUUCGGGGGAUACUGCCAGGCUUGGAACCGGGAGAGGUAAGAGGUACUACAGGGGUAGGAGUGAAAUCUUGUAAUCCCUGUGGGACCACCUGUGGCGAAGGCGUCUUACCAGAACGGGUUCGACGGUGAGGGACGAAAGCUGGGGGCACGAACCGGAUUAGAUACCCGGGUAGUCCCAGCCGUAAACGAUGCUCGCUAGGUGUCAGGCAUGGCGCGACCGCGUCUGGUGCCGCAGGGAAGCCGUGAAGCGAGCCACCUGGGAAGUACGGCCGCAAGGCUGAAACUUAAAGGAAUUGGCGGGGGAGCAC
RNAcentral lists this ribosomal RNA (568 nucleotides) under uncultured archaeon. Its description in RNAcentral is "bacterial SSU rRNA". It matches the Rfam family "Archaeal small subunit ribosomal RNA", at positions 311 to 879 of the family's 1478-position model. The record is from RNAcentral.